GGUGGUUCUCGGGUGACGCUCCCUGGAAUCUGGCUCCCUUCUCUCUGGUUCCAGGGUGCAUCACUGGAGAACUGCU
This is a non-coding RNA of Myotis lucifugus (little brown bat), 76 nucleotides long. The record is from Rfam. Lineage: Eukaryota; Metazoa; Chordata; Mammalia; Chiroptera; Vespertilionidae.